Molecule: small RNA, 170 nt
Organism: Firmicutes bacterium CAG:646
Lineage: Bacteria; Bacillati; Bacillota
Rfam family: Clostridiales-1 RNA
Source: Rfam
UGAUGCCAGGGUCAAAAGGUCAUAAACCACGUUGUGCUUGCACAAAAGUGGUUUUAUGUCUUUAUGACCCGCCCCAAAAUGAGGAUAAAAGUGGGGCGUAUGCCCCGCGAUAUCCGAAUAUGGGGCAGAAUUGUGAGAGUGCGCAGCACGAAACAAUUCGUCAGGCAUCU